RNAcentral lists this ribosomal RNA (432 nucleotides) under uncultured bacterium. Its description in RNAcentral is "bacterial SSU rRNA". It matches the Rfam family "Bacterial small subunit ribosomal RNA", at positions 30 to 464 of the family's 1533-position model. The record is from RNAcentral.
AUUGAACGCUGGCGGCAUGCCUUACACAUGCAAGUCGAACGGCAGCACGGGAGCAAUCCUGGUGGCGAGUGGCGAACGGGUGAGUAAUAUAUCGGAACGUGCCCAGUCGUGGGGAUAACGUAGCGAAAGCUACGCUAAUACCGCAUACGAUCUAUGGAUGAAAGCGGGGGAUCGCAAGACCUCGCGCGAUUGGAGCGGCCGAUAUCAGAUUAGGUAGUUGGUGAGGUAAAGGCUCACCAAGCCGACGAUCUGUAGCUGGUCUGAGAGGACGACCAGCCACACUGGGACUGAGACACGGCCCAGACUCCUACGGGAGGCAGCAGUGGGGAAUUUUGGACAAUGGGCGCAAGCCUGAUCCAGCAAUGCCGCGUGCAGGAUGAAGGCCCUUGGUGUAAACUGCUUUGUACGUACGAACGGUGAGCUCUAAUACAG